UACGGAGGGUGCAAGCGUUAUCCGGAUUCACUGGGUUUAAAGGGUGCGUAGGUGGAGUGGUAAGUCAGUGGUGAAAUCUCCAAGCUUAACUUGGAAACUGCCGUUGAUACUAUCAUUCUUGAAUAUCGUGGAGGUAAGCGGAAUAUGUCAUGUAGCGGUGAAAUGCCUAGAUAUGACAUAGAACACCGAUUGCGAAGGCAGCUUGCUACACGAUCAUUGACACUGAGGCACGAAAGCGUGGGGAUCAAACAGG
Molecule: ribosomal RNA, 253 nt
Filed under: uncultured bacterium
Lineage: Bacteria
Description: partial 16S ribosomal RNA
Rfam family: Bacterial small subunit ribosomal RNA
Source: RNAcentral